UGUCCCCUGCGGUGUUUGUGAAGGCCAUACAUUCCUUGAACCAAUGCUGAUUGGCAUCGGUUGUGGACCGUUGAAACCGCUGUUGUGCGCUUGCUUCGUCGCAGGUGCCUGAUGCGGGAGGAAAGCAACCACUCUGAACCCAGGUUCAGGAUGCCGGCCUGACGGCACUUGCGGGGGCCAU
RNAcentral lists this non-coding RNA (181 nucleotides) under Rhodocyclaceae bacterium. RNAcentral describes it as "6S RNA". It matches the Rfam family "6S / SsrS RNA". From Rfam's summary of the family: E. coli 6S RNA was the first non coding RNA to be sequenced, but its function was unknown until recently. It consists of 184 nucleotides that fold into an extended hairpin structure with a large single-stranded internal bulge. The record is from RNAcentral. Lineage: Bacteria; Pseudomonadati; Pseudomonadota; Betaproteobacteria; Rhodocyclales; Rhodocyclaceae. RNAcentral also lists the same sequence under 1 other name.